RNAcentral lists this long non-coding RNA (798 nucleotides) under Vombatus ursinus (common wombat). Its description in RNAcentral is "lncRNA (ENSVURG00010010544.1)". The record is from RNAcentral. Lineage: Eukaryota; Metazoa; Chordata; Mammalia; Diprotodontia; Vombatidae.
CCUAGUGGGGCAUCUGCUUCAGACUCAGAGCAGCAGUGAAUAUGGGGAUCCCUGCCAGAGGGCCUGGGUGUCCCCCAAGCCGGGGGCUGUAGACCAGCCUUGGGAACCCCUGGAGGUGGGCCUGAAGGUAGAAAAGGAGGGGUCUAUGUUCCUGCUUCAGGCAAUGACAGUGCACAGGGAUCAGAUGUCUCUCUCCCGGCCAAAGGCGAGACUCUGGGGGCCUGGAAGGAGAGAGGGGCUGGGGUAAAGGGGGCCAAGCACAGAGGAGGGUGGGUGAGAGGUUGGGCUGAGGACUGGAUGGGUGGUGAGGCAGGUCCUUCAGAAUGAUGAGAGGCUGGAGGCAGAGGGGACUUGGAGGGUCUCCCUGAGUCUGUCUUUCCUUCUUCAGCUUGAGAGAAUUGUCUGGUAUGGACCUGGUAUGGACCUGAGGAAGAAAACCAGUCUCCAGUGCCUGUGUUGUUCCUGUGGACCCCUGGCUUCUCUCCCCAGCAUGGCCCCUGGGAUCCUCCCUGGAUUCUACUGGCCCAAGCCCAGGGAAGCAUCAUAGGGCCUUCACCCUGUUCUCCAAGGCCUCCUUCCCCCACCUUCUUUCUUUCUGCCUGUCUCACUCUGUAGAGACAACCAGCAGUGAGGGCCAGAGGGCUUUGGGAGGGGAACCUUCCUUCACACAUGAUGUUGCACUGACCUCUGGGAGCUUUUUCUGACUGCAAAAACAGCCCAAUGAAUUAUUGCCCUUGAAAUUUCAGCUUUUCUCCCCAAUCUCAGCUAAGCUUCACAUUUGGGUGGGGGAUUUUGGGG